CUGGUUCUGCCAUUUCUUAAAAACCCAGUUCACAGAUGAGAAGUUUCAAGUACAGCUUGGCAAAUCCAGAGGAUGCUGGGGGAAGCAGCUGAUACAAGUCUCAUGUUCACUCAUCUACUGCAUAUGGAAUAUAAGGAAGAGGAGUCCAACAAAAGUCCUGGUGAUACUUUGGUCCAGUUUCACCUGAAAUCAAAAAGAUUUUAUUGCUACAGUCUGUCCUUGGGAAACCACUAAGACAAGAAAUGUAUUUUCAGUUGCCUUAGGGCUUGUGCUGGACCCCAGAGCCCAGAAUGACUCUUAGGAUUAGGACUAAAUAUCAAGAAACUCAGUAAAUACAAGUGAAUUCAAUUGAAAGGAUGGAAUACGUGCAGGGUUUCAGAAAAUUCUAAGGACCUUUAGUUUUGGAAACAUUUCUGCAACAAAAUAUGUUGCCUGUGUUUUAAGAGAGGUUCAGUGACUCCAACAACAUCGAUUCCAGCUCGCAGCUGCGUUUGGAUCUGGAGUCCUUGGCUCUGGAUGUGUGUAAGGCUGCCAAAAGCUUAACUUCCCAGGAAAAUGGGAAGCCCUCCCUGUCUCUGCUGGCUGCUCCUGAGAAAGGGCUGUGAGUGCACCGAGUCCCUUGCUUGGGGCAAUCCACGAGACUUGGAUUACAUGGGAAUUUAUCUAACCCUGCAUGUUUCACGGCACAGUGAGCAAAUCUGGGAACAAACUGAUGUUUUAAAUUAAAUUUUGAUUCUGAUGUGCCAAAUCGACCACCUGGGUAGAUUCCUGAAUCUGCAUGUCUGGCUGUGGAGCACCACCCUCUGAGGCAGCUGAAUCCCAUCCAUCUGCCACCCUCCAGCCCACAAUUUAGCCCAGAAGUUGCGUUUUUCUUAAGUGCACCCCAUCCUAGGCAGUUACCAUGGCAACCCAGGGCCCGACUGUCAGACGUCAAUCCUGCUACAGCUCUGCUGCUGUCAGGAUACAGCUAAAUCACUAAGGAAUGGAAGACUUAUUUUAUGGUCUUUCUUGUAAGGUCUGAGGUGAAUAAAGAGCUCAGGUCGCACCUGCACUAAUCCACCCCAUUCAGAGCUGAUGCUCCUGUAUUGAUGACAAGUAAUUACAUUUUUUGUACCAGCCUUUUUACAUUUCCUGUUUUGAGAAAGAGCCCUUGGAGCACUCGGCUUUGCUAUCACACAGCUCACCAGGCAGCACAUCUGUGCAGCAGCAGUGCCACUGAUGGUUUACCAAGGAACACACUCUCUCCCUCACCUCCAGAGGUUGCCAGGGUGGAGGAACAUUGUUAAAGACUGAGUCACCUCCUAUUUUUAAAAGGCUGAUGGGAUGGGAGCUCACCUCAGACAUGUUAAAGUAUCCAAACUGGUUUUGUUAUUGGGCUGUUAAGGGAUGAUGGGCAAAUUGUUCUUUCCUUCUUGCCCACUUCUUCCACCUGUUGAAGGGGAAUUCUGGUGUCUCUCUUUGUAAACUGGAUCUGACACCAUUUUAAAGCUAAGCUGCAUAAAAGCUAAUUAUUAACAUCAUGACCACUUACAUCAUCACUUAGUUGAUCCCAGAGCACUGUCAGAAGAGAAUGGUAACAUUUGACUCAGAGCUUCACAUCUGGGUGCUUGAGCAUCCCCUUUGCUCUCUUUUACCAGAAAAUUUAGCUAUACACUUCAAAACCCUGGUGGGCACAAAUCUGGAGCUCUGCUGCCAGACAGAAGAGGUUCCCAGCCUCACUUUCCCAUCUCCUCUUUCUUCAGUAAUACAUCCUAGUGGAUGUCCCAUAUUUUUCAACCUGCAGUGUCACUGAGGUGCCAGCCCCAUUCUCACGGAAAGGAGAAGAGCCUGUUUCUCUUGUAGAUAUAUGGCACAGCAGUUUGUUAUCCUGCAUAGCUCUGCAACGUGAAAACAUUUUGUUGUAGCAGUGUCAUAUGGCCAUUACACAGCAGCACAGGAGGUCACAUUAAUCUGACAGGCAGCUUUAAAUGCAGGAUACCCCCUGCCACGCUGUGGGCAGGUGGCUUUGGAGCUUUCCCUGCAGCCCAGCUACACUUAACAGUCUUCUCUAUAGUAUCCCUCUGUUUUUAGACUCCUUCAGUGAACCAAAAAAAUCACUGCUGCAUUGAAAAUUUUCCCCUUCCUUGGGUCUGGUUCAUCUUUUAAUUUAUCCUCACUUUGCUU
Long non-coding RNA from Neopelma chrysocephalum (saffron-crested tyrant-manakin), 2163 nucleotides. RefSeq lists it as uncharacterized. The transcript has 3 exons. Lineage: Eukaryota; Metazoa; Chordata; Aves; Passeriformes; Pipridae. The record is from RefSeq and is a predicted model, not a curated record.